RNAcentral lists this transfer RNA (89 nucleotides) under Candidatus Gerdarchaeota archaeon. Its description in RNAcentral is "tRNA-Ser". It matches the Rfam family "tRNA". Rfam says of the family: Transfer RNA (tRNA) molecules are approximately 80 nucleotides in length. Their secondary structure includes four short double-helical elements and three loops (D, anti-codon, and T loops). Further hydrogen bonds mediate the characteristic L-shaped molecular structure. tRNAs have two regions of fundamental functional importance: the anti-codon, which is responsible for specific mRNA codon recognition, and the 3' end, to which the tRNAs corresponding amino acid is attached (by aminoacyl-tRNA synthetases). tRNAs cope with the degeneracy of the genetic code in two manners: having more than one tRNA (with a specific anti-codon) for a particular amino acid; and 'wobble' base-pairing, i.e. permitting non-standard base-pairing at the 3rd anti-codon position. Lineage: Archaea; Promethearchaeati; Candidatus Gerdarchaeota. The record is from RNAcentral. RNAcentral also lists the same sequence under 1 other name.
GCCGAGAUAGCCAAGCCUGGACUACGGCGCUGGUCUUGAAAACCAGUUCUCGAAAGGGAGCGCGAGUUCGAAUCUCGCUCUCGGCACCA